Molecule: transfer RNA, 70 nt
Filed under: Ictidomys tridecemlineatus (thirteen-lined ground squirrel)
Lineage: Eukaryota; Metazoa; Chordata; Mammalia; Rodentia; Sciuridae
Description: Spermophilus tridecemlineatus (thirteen-lined ground squirrel) tRNA
Rfam family: tRNA
About the family: Transfer RNA (tRNA) molecules are approximately 80 nucleotides in length. Their secondary structure includes four short double-helical elements and three loops (D, anti-codon, and T loops).
Source: Rfam by way of RNAcentral
GGUUGUGGCUCAGCGGUAGAGCACUUGCCUCACAAGUGUGAGGCACUGGGUUCAAUCCUCAGUACCACCU